UGCAGAAGUAGUUGUGAUUUUACUUUAGGAUUACUUAAAUUCUAAAAUUAGAAAGGAUACUGAAGUGGGGAGAGGGGGAUCCUUAAUAGAAAACAAGGUUUCAGAAAAGCAGGGCUAAGUAAUUGUCAUUAAAAGGGUAUAUCUUCCAAAGUGCAAAGUUAGGUUACAUGAGAUCAGGUUGAUCUUUGACCCGACAGUCUCAAAGCUCAUAGGACUGCAGCAAGUGAUAAUUGCUUCCUCAUUUAGAUUAGACAAUGAGUUCUCUCUGCAAGCUACUCUCCUCUAAAAAGACUGUAGAGAGUAAUUGAAACAAGUUAUACGGGGAAGUGGAGUGACCGAUUCCUCAAAGUGUGAGAGCAGAGCUAUGGUAACCUCUUAAGCCUGGCCUUCAUCCUGUUCCUAUUUAGGGAAUCCGCAGGGCAGCCAGUGUUGAGUGCAGUCUGCAGAUCGCCAGCUUUAUUGUUUAGACUUGAAGGGAAGGUCACAUGCCCUCUUUGACAGAGAGGUUUAUGGGCUCUCUCUAAUUAGCAGCACCCUCCACCAGACAGACUGUUGGCCACCGUCCAAGAACGGGGGUUUAGUGGCGGCCACUGAUGAAGGAGAAAACAAGGUUAUUUACCCUGUGACUGUAAUUCUUGGCACUGGUUCUCUUUGCACUUAGACACGUUUUCCUUUUGUUCCAACUUGCCUUUGGAAUUCUGAGUAGGGCGUUAAGGAAGGGAAAUGCAGCUAUAUAUUUAGUGCUGUAAGCAACCCAUAUGUUAGCCUCAGAUACUUUUCUCUAUUCUAAGGUCGCAUACAAAAAGGAAAAGAAAAGGGCAACGUAGUUAUAGAGUUGCUUGCGAAUAUAAGUGCUUAGGCACAUGCCCACACACACAAGCUCAGAAAAGGAAGUUAAAUUUGCAACAUCUAUAACGACAGUUGUACGUUAGGACAGAAAUCCCAGCGGUAGAACGUGAUUCGGUCUAGCUAUUACUGGAGUGUUAAAACCCAGAAUAUAUUUGGCUAGUACUGUUCUGUCGAUUCUGCGGUAAGGCGGAUUAAGCCUAUAGAAAUGCUUUCUGGUUGAUUUAAACCAGACGCUCCGACUAUUUUUUGUCCUGUUUGCAGGCGCAGCACUGCUGCAUAAGGCAAUGCUGCCCCCCUCGACCGACCGCCUAUACAGCCUCUUCUCCACCAGCUACCUCGUCCAUAAAAACCUUUCAAGUCCCCAUUAUUACUCCAGGCACAUUCCAAGGGGAUUGAGUCACAGGGUUCACUGGGCUUUUCUCCCGCCCAGAACUGCUCGUACCAGGUGGAAUACGACCCCCAACUUCAAACAUGGAAUCCAUACCCUGUCAAAAAGCGCUUUAGGGCCAGCCUCAGAUGCAAUCCCUACAGCAACUCUGUCCACCAACCGAUUUGGGGUUUGCUGGCUGCACAGCUGGAAUCCCACAUCAUCAGCACGAGGGUCGUCUAUUCAAACUAUGAGGCUUAUCUUUGAGGAACUCUGUAAAGCUGUCCUAUUUCCAAAGCUCCAAGGUCAGCUUGCUCAGCAUCAGAGCACAGGCUGAGCUGGAAGCUUAUUCCAUCAGGCGCUGCGUGCGGGAGACUAGGAGGCCCAAGCCGGGAACCCAGGGGACUUGACGUUCUGCUGGCUUUUAAUGUUGCUGGAGAUGGAACCCAGGGCCUCACACAUGCUAGGGCACCUCUGGAAUGAACUGCUUCAGGGGAAAAGAAGAUGAGGUGAAUAAACUGAGGUCCAAGGAGAUUAAAUACAUUGCCCAAGACUACAGAGGCUGUGCUGGAGAUCAAACUCAGGACAUUGAGCAAUCUGACAAGUGCUAUACCGUGGAACCACAUCCCCAACCUUGAUAAUAUCUAUUAAUACACAAAACUUUAAAUUUUGAUGAAGCCCAUUUUGUUGUUGUUGUUGCUUGUGCAAGGUUUAAUGUAUUUUGAGCGUCCAGUGGGAAGGUGAGUCUCUGAGAACUGUAAGGUGUCAGAGGUCAAUGACAGAGGUGACUCUGCUUCUACUGCCCUGACCCCCAGCCAUGUAUACGUGGAGUUCUGCUCACUAUAAAGAGGACCUCUUACCUGCUCACUGGAAGGAGGUUGCUCAAACCUAACAGAAGAUGGACAUGUCAUUCUUGGAACAAUAACUCAGUGACUCUGCUGACACUGGCUCAUGUACCUCAAAAGUGACAAGGACUGAGUCAGAAAUAUCCAAGUGUAGAUUUGGUUAAGUGUAAGACAGAGCUGGGGAGGCAACUGCAGCACUGUGUCUAACUGGCCAAACAUGGGGCUCAGAUGGCCCACAUUUAAAUCCUGACUUUGCUAUUUACUAGCUAUAGGACCUCAGUCAGAUAAAUUAUUCAAUUCUUUCUGUUUCAGUUUUCCCAUAGGUAACAUGGAGGUAGGGUUGUUAAAGCCUUUUGUGAUUUAAUACACACAAAGUGCUUGAAAUAGUGCUUGGCAUAUUGUAAGCACUCAACAAAUGUUCUCUAGCACAUUAAUGGAUUCAAAUAUGCAAAGCACUUUGAGAAGUCCCUGCUGCAGCCAGUAUUAUUCCCAGCACAUGACAUUCAAAUGCAAAGUUCUAAAAGAGUUUUAAAGAAACAGAGUGCAGACCAAACAACAUAUUUCUAUGGGCCAAAUUCAGUUCCAGGAUUGCCAGUUUGCAACGCCUGAACUGAAACUAGAGAACUUUGUUCAGACUCCCAGUCAGAUCUUACUUCUGACUGUGCUUCCUUGGGCUUUAUUGGGACCAUGGUCCUUGAUCCCACCUUCUGUCCCCUCCCAGCAUCUCCACCUGACAACUCUUGAAAAUUGAGGUUCUGGGAAUCAAGCUGGCUUUUCUCCUUAUCAAUUUUGCAUUUUUUUUUUAACCCAUGCUGUAUACUGAAGGUAUUACCAGGAUCACUUUUUCAUAACAAUAACUUAAUGAAAGAACACAUUGUUUUAUCAUUGGUCAAAUUGACAUGAGAGCUUUUUGUAAAAGUAUGUUUGUAUCAUUUGUUUAUUCAAAGUACAUAUAUCAUGAUAAGCAAUAUGAAUAUAAAAAUGAAGAGACAGGAUUCCUACUGAUCCAGAGCAAUAUCUAUACUCCAAAGGCACGCCCCCAACAGCCUGCCUGCGUCUUCCAGCCACACCCAACCUGCCUACAGUUACCACCCAGCUAAUUCCCAUGGUGGAUUAAUGCAUUGAUCAGUUUAAGGCUCUCAUAACCCAAUCACCUCUAAUCUUUCUUGCAUUAUCUCAUUCAUGAGCUUUUGGGGGAGAGUAGUAGGUAAUUUCAUAAGAUUUCUUUUUUUAUUAUCCAUUGUGAUACUAAACAUGUGAUGCUUAUAUUCUUAUAAAGCAAAUACAACUAUGAUUUAUUUACAUUUUUAUGUAGCUUUUUUAUAUAUUGGUCGUAUUUCAUAUUCAAUCACAUUUGAGACAGUUAGAAAAAUGAAAAUAGUUUUAGAGUUUUCAUACUGACUAUAAAAAUGAUAAAUGCUCAUUGUAAACAAUUCGAGAAAUAUCGAGAAAUAUAAAGAAGAAAGAAAAAUUGCUCCAAGUUUUGUCACACAGAGAUAAAUACUGUUAGCAUUUUGAUGAAUAUCCUUUUGGAUGUUUCUCCAUGCGUAUAUAUUAUCAUCUAUCUGAAAAAAAAAAAAGAACGAAUGCUGCAUUUUUCUCCUUGGCUUUGGGGUCCUUUGAAAUAUUCAUUUAGCCUAUUAAAAAUUUUCCAUAUUGACCUAUUGAAACAAUGAACUUUGUCUACUUAUUUACCCAUUUGUAUAUUUUUCUCUGUAUAAGCUGCUAUUGGAUUUAUUUGUCAGUCUAGCUUCUAAUUCCUCAUUUUCUGCUUUUUUUUUUUCUUUUCCACAUUAAGCCUUUUUCAUUUUCCUUAGGGUUUUGCUGUUCUUUUCCUAACUUCUUGGCUACAUUCUUAGUCAUACGUUAUGGCAAUAGGGCCCUGUUUUCUGACUCUCCUUUUACAACCCGACCUGCAGCAGCUCAGGAGUUCAGGCUAAAUAAACCUCUUUGUGUUUUGUUAACUUUUAACUUGGAGUGCAGAGACCAUGGGGGAGGCUGACCUUCUCACAGGGCGGUCUGUAACAGAUGGCCUUGCUGUUUACUUUUGUUUUGGAAGCUAGAGGCAAAUAACCAUAGCAUCUGGGAUGGGAUCAGUUAAAUUUAAGGAUGGAAGAAAAGAGUUUUGAGUGUUUGCUAGAAGAAGAUGUAACAGUCCACUCUAAAUGUCACCACUGAAGGACAUGUUACCCUCUUCAUAGACUCAGCAUUUUGCUUAGCAUUUUGUGUGGAUUGUGGACUAAGGGGCCUGACAUUCUUAACAGAUUUCUCUGACCCAGUAAAACAGGAAGUUUCUGGAAAUCAUAUUUCCCCUGUUGAUUUAUUUGGUGUGGCCAGUCUGCUUAGCUGUAGGUCCCCUACAUCUCCAGCAUAAAAUCUGCCCUUCUGUCAGAUAGAAUUUGUGCUUGGCUUUUCAGGAGCUCUGACCUAGGUCAAGUCUCCACCUCUUUGAGCCUCUGUCUCCUCUUCUAGAAUACAAAACUAGUGUAAAAAUUAAGUUGCCUAAUUCAUGAAACACUGGGGCAAUUUUCAAAAUAUUGAAUGAGGUUGUUGGCCAAUCAGAACAGGAACAGAUCAUAAUACUGGAGAGAAGUCCUAGAAGCCCCCUUCUGUGCUUUUAGUUCCUGGGGCAGUGGACAUGGCAGAGUGGGGUGAGUGGUUGUAGGAGACUGGAUGAUCAGUGUUACCGCUGUUUAUUGGUGAGGAGUCCUUGCUUCCCCGAAUGCUGACGUAUAACACCAGAGAAGCACGCCCAGGCAAGUGUAGAGUGGAAAGUGGAAGGCUUUAUUAAAGGACAG
Ictidomys tridecemlineatus (thirteen-lined ground squirrel) is the source of this 4859-nucleotide long non-coding RNA. RefSeq lists it as uncharacterized. NCBI's taxonomy places the organism in Eukaryota, Metazoa, Chordata, Mammalia, Rodentia, Sciuridae. The record is from RefSeq and is a predicted model, not a curated record.